GAUGAACGCUAGCGGCGCGCUUAAUGCAUGCAAGUCGAGCGAUGAGGCCCCUUUGGGGGUACAUCAGCGGCAGACGGGUGAGUAACACGUGGAUGACCUGCCCCGAAGACGAGGAUAACGGAUGGAAACAUCUGCUAAUACUCGAUGGUCUUAUACAGUCGAAAGUAUAAGUAAAGCUCCGGUGCUUCGGGAGGGGUCUGCGGCCUAUCAGCUAGUUGGUAGGGCAACGGCCUACCAAGGCGAAGACGGGUAGGGGGUGUGAGAGCACGGCCCCCCACAAUGGGACUGAGACACGGCCCAUACUCCUACGGGAGGCAGCAGCAGGGAAUAUUGCACAAUGGACGGAAGUCUAAUGCAGCGACGCCGCGUGGAUGAUGAAGGCCCUCGGGUUGUAAAAUCCUUUUCAUAGGGACGAGGAAGGACGGUACCUUUGGAAUAAGCGUCGGCUAACUACGUGCCAGCAGCCGCGGUAAGACGCAGGACGCGAGCGUUAUCCGGAUUUACUGGGCGUAAAGCGUCUGUAGGCGGAGUGGAAAGUUGGGCGUGAAAGCUCCGGGCUCAACCCGGAGAGGACGUUCAAUACUACCAAACUAGAGGGCAUCAGAGGAGCGUGGAAUUUCCGGUGUAGCGGUAAAAUGCGCAGAUAUCGGAAGGAACACCAGUGGCGAANGCGGCGCUCUGGGAUGCACCUGACGCUAAGAGACGAAAGCUAGGGAGCGAACAGGAUUAGAGACCCUGGUAGUCCUAGCCGUAACGAUGGAUGCUAGGUGUAUGGU
RNAcentral lists this ribosomal RNA (776 nucleotides) under uncultured bacterium. RNAcentral's name for it is "bacterial SSU rRNA". It matches the Rfam family "Bacterial small subunit ribosomal RNA", at positions 28 to 828 of the family's 1533-position model. The record is from RNAcentral.